This is an RNA transcript of Sinocyclocheilus anshuiensis, 2600 nucleotides long. It is a transcript of the gene named glypican-5-like, with no coding region annotated. The record is from RefSeq and is a predicted model, not a curated record. Lineage: Eukaryota; Metazoa; Chordata; Actinopteri; Cypriniformes; Cyprinidae. The transcript is spliced from 10 exons.
UGAACGGGACGCAGCGGCGCUUUUCCCUUCUCGGUUUGGGAAGGAAGGAGGGACUCACUACAGCCGGUGCAGCAUGUGAAAGUCCAACACAGGCGACACAUUUUGCAGCCAGUCUCUGAUCAUUAAGCAAUUCCACCGCACUUAUUUCUCCUCUGAAAUGCCGUCAUGCCACGCGUGAAUGUCAGCUGGAUUAUUACGGUGCUCGCGGUGGAGCUCGCGACACUGUCCGCCGCGCACGCUCACAGCUGUCACGAGGUGAAAACGGCGUUUCAGGUGCGUCAGAUCGGCCAGCUGAAAUGGGUGCCGGAAACACCUGCUACAGAUGUGGACCUGUCGAUAUGCAAGCACGCUGGGCCGUCAUGCUGUACGCGAAGAAUGGAAGAGAGCUAUAGAGCAGCGGUCCUGAGAGACACCACCCAGAACAUCAGAUCAUACAGCUUUGAGCUGAAAUAUCUAAUUUCUGCACAUGCUGCCGCCUUCCAGGAUAUGUUCCAGUCUCUAAUCACCUUCUCUCAGAAUCACCUGACCUCUCUGUUCGAGACCACAUUCUCUUCCCUCAUAUCAUCCAUCUCCCCUCACAUCGCCUGCCUCUUCACGGACCUUUCUCGCUUCCUCCAGGGCACCGGCAAUGUCUCUGUUGAAGCUGCCGUUCACUGUUUCUUCGACAGUCUCUUCCCGUUAGUCCACACUCAUAUUGUCAAUCCCGGCAUUGCUGGGAGCAUUGGAGAGGACUCUUAUAAUGGAAACCAGCUUGGCGACUGUCUCCGCAUGACAAGGCAGGAUGUUAACCCCUUUGGGCCGCACCCAAAGGCGAUGGCAGAUACGCUUGCGAGCGCGUUGAGGGCAGGCCGGGUGCUCAGCCUGACGCUCGGCGUGGGGUUGGAAGUAAUGAACAUUACAGAGACGGCGGAGUUGUCCAAGGAAUGUACUCGGGCUCUGGUGCGCAUGCAUUACUGUUCUCAUUGCCGUGGACUCACCCUGAUCCGGGCGUGCAGCGGCUACUGCCUCAACGUCAUGCGAGGGUGCCUGGCCAGCCUCUCAGAGAUCCACAACCCCUGGAGACAGUAUGUCACCGUACUGCAGGAUCUCACGCACAUCAUCGCCGGAGCGCACAACCUGGAACUAGCUUUGCUGGGGAUCAGAGGUCAAGUCGAGGAGGCCAUACUCUACGCUCAGCUCCAUGGGCCCAGGCUAACUGCUACGGUGGAUAAGGUAUGUGGGCACUCUUCAAAUGUGUCUUCAACCACAGUCAGAACGUUUCCUCCAACUUCAGUCACACCGCCACCUGCCAACAGCUCACCGGACGUUCCAGGAGCCGAUAAGAUCGGCAUGUUGGCUCACCUUUACAGUUCACUCCCUCUGAAAACCUCCAAGAGUGAUAGAGGUAGAACUCUGAAAAAAGUUGCACGGGAGUUUACGGGGUGUAUCUCCCGGUAUAAGUCUUUCUUCUCCAUACUUCCGGAGACGUUGUGCGAGGGAGAGAUGGGCAUCGACGAGCUCACGUGUUGGAGUGGAGAUGACGUAGUCAAAAGUUAUACUGCAAGAGUGGUGGGCAAUGGAGUUCAUGCUCAAAGAGAGAAUCCAGAAGUAAGAGUCAGAAGUGCUGACCCUGUGCUUAUGGAUGUCAAAAACAGACUUGAGCUCUUCAACAUGGAGAUUCAAGAGGUCAUGCCGGGUGUGGGGCACAGGGAGUCCUGGGAUGAGAGAGGCAGUGGAGAUAGCAGUGGUGAAUGUGAUGAUGAGGACGGCUGUGAAGGCUCUGGAGAAUCUGUGGCAUCUCCCCCUCUCACAGAAGCUGAUGUAUCCAAAAAUGCAGUGACGGUCUCCUUCCACGACUCGCCCAUCACCCAGAACAAAUCUUCAUCGGAUGCUUCUCUUUCCAUGACCAGCUUCAUCAUCAUCAUCCUCGCUCUGGCACUGCACUGGCCCUUCAUCUGAAAAACCACAAGCGCAUGCACACACAAUGAUCAUAUGCACACACAGGUGAACAUCAUGAAGAAGUGGUUGUUUCAUUAUGUUCCCAGCCCCAUUUUUGUGGAAGCCUCCGGCCGGGAGACUAGCAGUUCUGUCUGGGGUUUAAGAGUGAACACUCUCCACAGACUUCUAGUAUCAGGACAAAACUCUUAUCAUCACUGACUUGGCCUGUGGAAUGCAUGACAAAGUAUAUGCAUGUGUGGAAACAUUGCUCAUAACCACACAACAAAAAAAGAACACAGAAUCUGUCUGCAUAGUCAGCAAGGGAUUUUACCACCACACACAGAGCAUUAUUGAAUGAGUCUAUGAAUGAUAUGCACAUUGUAGUAUGUGUAUAGUUUGAACUGACGCUGAAUUUAUAGGACGAAUGUUUUAAGUAUCAUACAAACUUUUUUAUAAUAUGUUUCAUCAGCUCUAACUGAAACCCAUACAAACACAUAGUUAUAAAGACAUAAAUCUUUCAAAGUAGUGGCAAUGUUCUUGGGCUUUGCUGUUACCUGUUUGCAAAACUUUCAUGGCUUUAAAGGGCUCAAAACAUCCCUUUAAUACUUAAUAUUUUUUUUUCAAUUCCCGCAAUUACCUUCCAAGUGCACUGCUUUUCUAAGAAAACGCGCUUUUAACUUAAA